Molecule: ribosomal RNA, 118 nt
Filed under: Pteropus alecto (black flying fox)
Lineage: Eukaryota; Metazoa; Chordata; Mammalia; Chiroptera; Pteropodidae
Source: RNAcentral
GUCUACGGCCAUGCCACCCCGAACAAGCCCAAUCCCGUCUGAUCUUGGAUCUAAGCAGGAUCGGGCCUGGUUAGUACUUGGAUGGGAGACCAUCUAGGAAGACCAGGUGCCGUAAGCG